UCCUCGAUGGUCUAGUGGUCAUGAUUUCCGCUUGUCAUCCCAUACAAGGAACAAGCGCGGGAGACCUGGGUUCGAUUCCCAGUCGGGGAG
The sequence is a transfer RNA, 90 nucleotides long. It matches the Rfam family "tRNA". From Rfam's summary of the family: Transfer RNA (tRNA) molecules are approximately 80 nucleotides in length. The record is from Rfam.